This 497-nucleotide ribosomal RNA is filed under the name uncultured bacterium. Its description in RNAcentral is "partial 16S ribosomal RNA". It matches the Rfam family "Bacterial small subunit ribosomal RNA", at positions 28 to 507 of the family's 1533-position model. The record is from RNAcentral.
GAUGAACGCUGGCGGCGUGCCUAAUACAUGCAAGUCGAGCGAACAGACGAGGAGCUUGCUCCUCUGACGUUAGCGGCGGACGGGUGAGUAACACGUGGAUAACCUACCUAUAAGACUGGGAUAACUUCGGGAAACCGGAGCUAAUACCGGAUAAUAUAUUGAACCGCAUGGUUCAAUAGUGAAAGACGGUUUUGCUGUCACUUAUAGAUGGAUCCGCGCCGGAUUAGCUAGUUGGUAAGGUAACGGCUUACCAAGGCAACGAUGCGUAGCCGACCUGAGAGGGUGAUCGGCCACACUGGAACUGAGACACGGUCCAGACUCCUACGGGAGGCAGCAGUAGGGAAUCUUCCGCAAUGGGCGAAAGCCUGACGGAGCAACGCCGCGUGAGUGAUGAAGGUCUUCGGAUCGUAAAACUCUGUUAUUAGGGAAGAAAAAAUGUGUAAGUAACUAUGCACGUCUUGACGGUACCUAAUCAGAAAGCCACGGCUAACUACGUG